This 500-nucleotide ribosomal RNA is filed under the name uncultured Glomeromycotina. RNAcentral's name for it is "partial small subunit ribosomal RNA". It matches the Rfam family "Eukaryotic small subunit ribosomal RNA", at positions 591 to 1092 of the family's 1831-position model. The record is from RNAcentral. Lineage: Eukaryota; Fungi; Glomeromycota.
CCAAUAGCGUAUAUUAAAGUUGUUGCAGUUAAAAAGCUCGUAGUUGAAUUUCGGGAUCAGCAGGUUGGUCGUGCCUAUGGUAUGCACUGGCUUUACUGAUUCCUCCUUCUUGAAGAACUGUAAUGUCAUUAAUUUGGUGUUGCAGGGAAACAGGACUGUUACUUUGAAAAAAUUAGAGUGUUUAAAGCAGGCUAACGCUUGAAUACAUUAGCAUGGAAUAAUGAAAUAGGACGUUUGAUCCUAUUUUGUUGGUUUCUAGGAUUGACGUAAUGAUUAAUAGGGAUAGUUGGGGGCAUUAGUAUUCAAUUGUCAGAGGUGAAAUUCUUGGAUUUAUUGAAGACUAACUACUGCGAAAGCAUUUGCCAAGGAUGUUUUCAUUAAUCAAGAACGAAAGUUAGGGGAUCGAAGACGAUCAGAUACCGUCGUAGUCUUAACCAUAAACUAUGCCGACUAGGGAUCGGAUGAUGUUAAUUUUUUAAUGACUCAUUCGGCGCCUUACG